Acanthochromis polyacanthus (spiny chromis) is the source of this 757-nucleotide long non-coding RNA. RefSeq lists it as uncharacterized. The transcript has 2 exons. The record is from RefSeq and is a predicted model, not a curated record. Lineage: Eukaryota; Metazoa; Chordata; Actinopteri; Pomacentridae.
CCUCGGCAUUAUUUCAUGGAGGUACUUCAUGUUGAUCAUGUUUUACAUUGUAAAGUAGCCUAAAUAUUAAGUGGCUGUUUGACUGUGCAGUUGUUUUAUCCACACACAGCCUAAAUGUCUGCAUCCAUAUCAUGUCCUGUUAAAUAAUUAAGCCUAUUUAAACUAACAUAGACUUCUGCUCAGCCAACAGAAAGAAAGCAGAUGCCUGUAAAACGGUGGUAUAAAAGGUCAUGGAUGCACAUAUAUAUAUAGAUAUAUAUAUACACACACACACAUCUUGUAAUUGUAAGUAGGCAACACUCCAAAGAUUUCUCCAAAUGGUAGUUUAAAUGUACUGAAACAUGUCACUGAUCUAGGAUGAAGAGGAUGAAACUGUGUCUGCUGCCUUUACAGAGGGGGAUCCAGAAAGGCAUACAGAGAGCAUGGCUGGACAGCAGCAGGAUGGUUCCUCAGCUUCCACUGCACAGACUGACACAGUGAGAUGGAUGUUCAGGAAACACCAGAGCUUCAUUCUGUGGAAUUCAUGUGCAACUGUAUAAUUUAAUGUCCUCUAUGUAUUCCCAGUUAUCAGUAAAACAGAUUUACAAACUGCAUUUGCUGAGAAAAAUCCAAAAACAGAUUAGGAGGGCAGAUCUGGAAAUUGAAAUACUGGAGCACAAGUUAGAGGUGGUGAUGGUCACAGGUGAAUUAUGUUAACUACUGGAACAUGAACUGAACUAUCUGUUUAUUUGUAGGAAAUAAAGAAGAGCAAAUGAAA